This 253-nucleotide ribosomal RNA is filed under the name uncultured bacterium. RNAcentral describes it as "partial 16S ribosomal RNA". It matches the Rfam family "Bacterial small subunit ribosomal RNA", at positions 524 to 776 of the family's 1533-position model. The record is from RNAcentral.
UACGUAGGGAGCAAGCGUUGUCCGGAAUCAUUGGGCGUAAAGCGCGCGUAGGUGGCUUCGUAAGUCCGUUGUGAAAGUCAAAGGCUCAACCUUUGAAAGCCGAUGGAUACUGCGGAGCUAGAGUACGGAAGAGGCGAGUGGAAUUCCUGGUGUAGCGGUGAAAUGCGCAGAUAUCAGGAGGAACACCAAUGGCGAAGGCAGCUCUCUGGGACGGUACUGACGCUGAGACGCGAAAGCGUGGGGAGCAAACAGG